AUUCUUUGUGAGGAUCAAUCCAGAUGUUGGUACCAAAUGCACAGCCAAAGUCGGUACAAGCCGCAAGACGGGAAGUCUUGUCAAGAGGAAAGUAGUCAGUGUCAACUCCCAGAUCACCACCUUCUUCCAACAACUUGCUGAAUUUGAAUGGAGGACUUCCAACUAGUUCAGCUUCCACAAGAUGGAUCCCACUGAUUUUGUUUGACGAAUGGAAUAAAAGUUCUUCUGAUGUAGGAAA
Long non-coding RNA from Xiphophorus couchianus (Monterrey platyfish), 238 nucleotides. RefSeq lists it as uncharacterized. The transcript is spliced from 2 exons. Lineage: Eukaryota; Metazoa; Chordata; Actinopteri; Cyprinodontiformes; Poeciliidae. The record is from RefSeq and is a predicted model, not a curated record.